CUACGUGCCAGCAGCCGCGGUAAUACGUAGGGCGCGAGCGUUGUCCGGAAUUAUUGGGCGUAAAGAGCUUGUAGGCGGUUUGUCGCGUCUGCUGUGAAAGGCCGGGGCUUAACCCCGUGUAUUGCAGUGGGUACGGGCAGACUAGAGUGCAGUAGGGGAGACUGGAAUUCCUGGUGUAGCGGUGGAAUGCGCAGAUAUCAGGAGGAACACCGAUGGCGAAGGCAGGUCUCUGGGCUGUAACUGACGCUGAGAAGCGAAAGCAUGGGGAGCGAACAGGAUUAGAUACCCUGGUAGUCCGCACAGUAAACGCUGGAUGCCCGCUGUUGGCUCAUUAGAGUCAGCGGCCAAGCGAAAGCAUUAAGCAUCCCACCUGGGGAGUACGCCGGCAACGGUGAAACUCAAAGGAAUUGACGGGGGCCCGCACAAGCGGCGGAGCAUGCGGAUUAAUUCGAUGCAACGCGAAGAACCUUACCAAGGCUUGACAUGC
RNAcentral lists this ribosomal RNA (487 nucleotides) under uncultured bacterium. RNAcentral's name for it is "bacterial SSU rRNA". It matches the Rfam family "Bacterial small subunit ribosomal RNA", at positions 501 to 989 of the family's 1533-position model. The record is from RNAcentral.